GACGAACGCUGGCGGCGUGCUUAACACAUGCAAGUCGAACGGAAAGGCCCUGCUUUUGUGGGGUGCUCGAGUGGCUAACGGGUGAGUAACACGUGAGUAACCUGCCCUUUACUUUGGGAUAACUUCAGGAAACUGGGGCUAAUACCGGAUAGGAGCUCCUGCUGCAUGGUGGGGGUUGGAAAGUUUCGGCGGUUGGGGAUGGACUCGCGGCUUAUCAGCUUGUUGGUGGGGUAGUGGCUUACCAAGGCUUUGACGGGUAGCCGGCCUGAGAGGGUGACCGGCCACAUUGGGACUGAGAUACGGCCCAGACUCCUACGGGAGGCAGCAGUGGGGAAUAUUGCACAAUGGGCGGAAGCCUGAUGCAGCAACGCCGCGUGCGGGAUGACGGCCUUCGGGUUGUAAACCGCUUUCGCCUGUGACGAAGCGUGAGUGACGGUAAUGGGUAAAGAAGCACCGGCUAACUACGUG
This 468-nucleotide ribosomal RNA is filed under the name uncultured bacterium. Its description in RNAcentral is "partial 16S ribosomal RNA". It matches the Rfam family "Bacterial small subunit ribosomal RNA", at positions 28 to 507 of the family's 1533-position model. The record is from RNAcentral.